This 23-nucleotide non-coding RNA is filed under the name Cricetulus griseus (Chinese hamster). The record is from RNAcentral. Lineage: Eukaryota; Metazoa; Chordata; Mammalia; Rodentia; Cricetidae.
AUGACAUGGAUGGGAGAGCCUGG